This 509-nucleotide long non-coding RNA is filed under the name Phoenix dactylifera (date palm). RNAcentral describes it as "long non-coding RNA (PDAC_LNC012312)". Lineage: Eukaryota; Viridiplantae; Streptophyta; Magnoliopsida; Arecales; Arecaceae. The record is from RNAcentral.
CCAGCCAAGAUCUCCUCAACAUCUUCAUCUCCACCUCGUUGAAGCAACAUCAGCUCAUUCUUCCGGAUUACUUCGUACUUCUUCUCCGCGAUUUGGCUUCAUCUUCCCGAGUUUCACAACAUCCAAACACGGCCCCAAAUAUCUCUCUGUUUGCAAGACCAAUCUCCCAGCAUCCUUAUCCCUUCUUCCUCACCGAAGGGAGUCGGCUGAUCAUCUUCUCAGAGGGCGGGGAGAAGCCAAGUUCCCACGAAAGAAUAAAAAAAAAAGAGAGAAAGGAGAGGGAGAGAAUACUUUGUGAUAUUUUGGAAAUAGAGAGAGUGGGAUGGAAGGGAAAGAUUUUUAUAUGAAGAUGGAAGCCUGCUGCUGUGCUGCUGCUGCCGUCUACCACUCCAUGGAAGGCUGAUCUCCUCUCUAGGGCUGGAUGCAGCCCUAACAAAGGGACACAGGUUUUAUGUUUUUAAUUUUUAUUCUUGGGGUUGUAUGAACUUAUUGUUUUUAAUGGAUAUCUU